CUUGGUCAUUUAGAGGAAGUAAAAGUCGUAACAAGGUCUCCGUAGGUGAACCUGCGGAGGGAUCAUUAACGAAUGGUCAUCCUUGAUCUUCUACCCUCAAACACCGUGGACGUCAGACGUGCUUCGGCGUCGAGAGGCGCCGCCUUUAUGCCCAAAGGCCUAUUUAGUCUGUAUGAAGAAAUGUCAAAACUUUCAACAAAGGAUCUCUUGGCUCUCGCAUCGAUGAAGAACGUAGCAAAGCGCGAAAUGUAGUGUGAAUUGCAGAACAUUGUGAAUCAUCGAAUCUUUGAACGCACAUUGCGCCUCUCGUUACAGGGAGGCAUGCCUGUCUGAGCGUCAUUUAAACCCAUGCCUCUGCGAUCGCCUUGGCGUGUUGGGCCUUCGUCGGCCGUACGGUCGAAGUGGCCUCGAAGUGAUCGGUCUGUUUGAGUGGACGGGAUCCUGUAGGACGAAGCCGCUCGAGGGACCCUAAACCCCCUCUGAAGUUGACCUCAGAUCAGGUAGGACUACCGCCUGAACUUAAGCAUAUCAAUAAGGCGAGGAACAGAAACCAACAGGGAUUCCCUCAGUAGUGGCGAAUGAAGCGGGAAAAGCUCAAGUUUGAAAUCCGGCGGUUCGUCCUCCGGAGUUGUAAGCUGAAGAGGCGUCGUGACCGACGUGGACCGGGCCCAAUUCCCUUGGAACAGGGAGUCGUGGAGGGUGAGAACCCCGUACGUGGCUCGGAACCCAUCGUCCUAGUGUCGCCGCCUCGAAGAGUCGGGUUGUUUGGGAAUGCAGCUCAAAAUGGGUGGUAAAUCUCAUCUAAAGCUAAAUAUUGGCGAGAGACCGAUAGCAAACAAGUAGAAUGAUCGAAAGAUGAAAAGUACUUUGAAAAGAGAGUGAAACAGUAUGUGAAAUUGUUGAAAUGGAAGCGUUUGGCAUCAGCCCAUGGCCUCCGACGAUCAACCCUGACAUCGGUCAGGUGCACUUGUCGGGGGUCGGGCCAGCGUCGACUCUGUCCGUCGGAGAAGGGUCGGGCGGAUGUGGCUCCUCCGAGAGCGUUAUAACGCCCGACGCCACACGGCGUGACGGGGUCGAGGUCUGCGGCCGUAUGUGCCGAGGACGCUGGCGUAAUGGUUGUAAGCGGCCCGUCUUGAAACACGGACC
RNAcentral lists this ribosomal RNA (1146 nucleotides) under uncultured fungus. RNAcentral's name for it is "eukaryotic LSU rRNA". The stretch from base 487 to 1146 matches the Rfam family "Eukaryotic large subunit ribosomal RNA", at positions 1 to 667 of the family's 3401-position model. Lineage: Eukaryota; Fungi. The record is from RNAcentral.